UCUCUUCUUUAUUUCUAUCGAACCACUCAAACAGAAAUCCAUUGCUCCCACCACCAUUUCCAUCUCCAUAGCUCCCGCCACCUCCACAAUUUCUACCACCGCCACCACAACUAGCACCACCAUCUCCGUCAUGCCUUCCACUGCUAUCAACAGAUCUGGAAAUUGAUGAUAUGGUUUGAAAAACAACUUUUAAAGGUAGAUAAAUUUAAUCAAUAAUACCAAUCGACAUUAUGAUCAGAUCCAAAGGUAAACGAUUGAUUAGGUGUUUACUUUAUUUGGAUGUUGUUGUGGUGGUGGUGGGUGUACUUGCAUCGAAGGAAAAGAUGGUGAUUGUGUCUUUGCAGCAGUGAUGGUGGUGGUUGCGGAGGUGAUGGUGGUGGAUUUUCUUUGUAGUGGUGAGGGUGUUGGUGUUGGUGUCGGUGAUAACAACAAAAACGAGCAAAGAUUUCAAUUGAACUAGUGUGGGAGUUGAAUGACUUCUCUUAACUGACGAGAUAAACUAUUUGGGUUCUUUGCACAAUUGGAUCCUCCUCCAGCAAGAACUGGUCCAGAACAGCCAUGGAAGUGUUGGUGGUGGCGAUGGUGGGUGGUGGCUGUUGCGGGUGGUGGCGGACUGAUGGCGACGGCGUCGGUAGUGGUGGUGGAUUUAGUGGUGGUGCUGGUAGCGGCGGCGGUGGUGGACUACUGGUGGUGGCAUCAGUGGAGGACUGGUGAUGGUGGUGUAAUGGCGGUGGAGUGGUGGUGGUGGCGGUUGAUGGUGGUGGUUGGUAGGUGGUGGUCGUUGAAGGUUGAUGGUGGAAUGUUAGUUGAAUAUUGGUGGUGGUGGUGGAACAGUGAUGGUGGUGCUGGUGAAGUUGCAGUGGAAGAAAUUUGUUCCAUUUUGAAAUAAAGAAAAAUUAUAUGGUCGAGGGUAUUAAGGUAAUCUAAUAUUAAAUGGAUAAAGUUAUUAAAAAGUAGGGACAUAUUUUUUUUGACAAAGGCGCAAUAUAUUAGUAUAUAGAUAGCAUUUGUACUAGGAUUAUUUACAAGACAUCACGAUUGUCUGUUUCGAAAAUGAUAUUCCAAUAGU
This is a long non-coding RNA of Papaver somniferum (opium poppy), 1069 nucleotides long. RefSeq lists it as uncharacterized. The transcript is spliced from 4 exons. The record is from RefSeq and is a predicted model, not a curated record. NCBI's taxonomy places the organism in Eukaryota, Viridiplantae, Streptophyta, Magnoliopsida, Ranunculales, Papaveraceae.